Molecule: transfer RNA, 74 nt
Filed under: Gammaproteobacteria bacterium
Lineage: Bacteria; Pseudomonadati; Pseudomonadota; Gammaproteobacteria
Description: tRNA-Leu
Rfam family: tRNA
About the family: Transfer RNA (tRNA) molecules are approximately 80 nucleotides in length. Their secondary structure includes four short double-helical elements and three loops (D, anti-codon, and T loops).
Source: RNAcentral
GGGCCUGUAGCUCAGCUGGUUAGAGCAGUGGACUCAAAAUCAAUUGGUCUUAGGUUCAAGUCCUACCGGGCCCA